ACAGAGGGUGCGAGCGUUGUCCGGAAUCACUGGGCGUAAAGGGCGCGUAGGUGGCUAGGUAAGCGUGUGGUGAAAGUCCGGGGCUCAACCCCGGAUCUGCCGUGCGAACUGCCAAGCUCGAGCGAUGUAGAGGCAGGUGGAAUUUCGGGUGUAGCGGUGGAAUGCGUAGAGAUCCGAAAGAACACCAGUGGCGAAGGCGGCCUGCUGGGCAUUUGCUGACACUGAGGCGCGACAGCGUGGGGAGCAAACAGGAUUAGAUACCCUGGUAGUCCACGCCGUAAACGAUGGGUACUAGGUGUCUGGGGGAGCGACCCCCUGGGUGCCGACGCUAACGCAUGAAGUACCCCGCCUGGGGAGUACGGCCGCAAGGCUG
RNAcentral lists this ribosomal RNA (373 nucleotides) under uncultured bacterium. Its description in RNAcentral is "bacterial SSU rRNA". It matches the Rfam family "Bacterial small subunit ribosomal RNA", at positions 525 to 896 of the family's 1533-position model. The record is from RNAcentral.